RNAcentral lists this transfer RNA (76 nucleotides) under Clostridiales bacterium. RNAcentral's name for it is "tRNA-Lys". It matches the Rfam family "tRNA". Rfam says of the family: Transfer RNA (tRNA) molecules are approximately 80 nucleotides in length. Their secondary structure includes four short double-helical elements and three loops (D, anti-codon, and T loops). Lineage: Bacteria; Bacillati; Bacillota; Clostridia; Eubacteriales. The record is from RNAcentral.
GGACCAUUAGCUCAGUUGGCAGAGCACCUGACUCUUAAUCAGGGUGUCCACGGUUCGAGCCCGUGAUGGUCCACCA